AGAGUUUGAUCCUGGCUCAGAUUGAACGCUGGCGGCAGGCCUAACACAUGCAAGUCGAACGGUAGCACAGAGAGCUUGCUCUCGGGUGACGAGUGGCGGACGGGUGAGUAAUGUCUGGGAAACUGCCUGAUGGAGGGGGAUAACUACUGGAAACGGUAGCUAAUACCGCAUAACGUCGCAAGACCAAAGAGGGGGACCUUCGGGCCUCUUGCCAUCAGAUGUGCCCAGAUGGGAUUAGCUAGUAGGUGGGGUAAUGGCUCACCUAGGCGACGAUCCCUAGCUGGUUUGAGAGGAUGACCAGCCACACUGGAACUGAGACACGGUCCAGACUCCUACGGGAGGCAGCAGUGGGGAAUAUUGCACAAUGGGCGCAAGCCUGAUGCAGCCAUGCCGCGUGUAUGAAGAAGGCCUUCGGGUUGUAAAGUACUUUCAGCGGGGAGGAAGGUGUUGUGGUUAAUAACCGCAGCAAUUGACGUUACCCG
Molecule: ribosomal RNA, 482 nt
Filed under: Enterobacteriaceae bacterium EF33
Lineage: Bacteria; Pseudomonadati; Pseudomonadota; Gammaproteobacteria; Enterobacterales; Enterobacteriaceae
Description: bacterial SSU rRNA
Rfam family: Bacterial small subunit ribosomal RNA
Source: RNAcentral